RNAcentral lists this long non-coding RNA (282 nucleotides) under Ricinus communis (castor bean). RNAcentral describes it as "long non-coding RNA (RCOM_LNC001110)". The record is from RNAcentral. Lineage: Eukaryota; Viridiplantae; Streptophyta; Magnoliopsida; Malpighiales; Euphorbiaceae.
CUCGGUCGCUCGGUCGACUCGCCUCCAGCCGCCGGAGUCCGAUCGACGAUCCGAACACACCAUCGGACUCACAACGACGCGCUGAUGACGAUCCCCGCUUUCGAUUUUCUGAUCUGACACCCAAUCAUUCGGAGAAAUUUGCGGACGAUCUCGACCGUCGAUUUGCAAACGAAGCCCGAUCGCCACGAAACUGGUGCCAUCGCGAAGCUUGAGAUGAGGAGAGUCGGGAUACGUCCUCCGAUCGUCCAUCCUCCGCCGGAGCUCGCCAGAAAAGCCAAAAAA